This 87-nucleotide transfer RNA is filed under the name Myxococcales bacterium. RNAcentral's name for it is "tRNA-Leu". It matches the Rfam family "tRNA". Rfam says of the family: Transfer RNA (tRNA) molecules are approximately 80 nucleotides in length. Their secondary structure includes four short double-helical elements and three loops (D, anti-codon, and T loops). Lineage: Bacteria; Pseudomonadati; Myxococcota; Myxococcia; Myxococcales. The record is from RNAcentral.
GCCGAAGUGGCGGAAUUGGUAGACGCGUCGGAUUCAAAAUCCGAUUCUCGCAAGAGAGUGUGGGUUCGAUUCCCACCUUCGGUACCA